Molecule: non-coding RNA, 700 nt
Organism: Schizosaccharomyces pombe (fission yeast)
Lineage: Eukaryota; Fungi; Ascomycota; Schizosaccharomycetes; Schizosaccharomycetales; Schizosaccharomycetaceae
Source: the annotation of a GenBank genome assembly
AAUGAAGAAUUAAUCGUUAUACCUUGAAAAAAAGGAAAGAAUAUAAUACUCGUUAAAAAUCAGUUAUUGAAGUUAAUAGAUAUUUAGACUAUAACUGUAGUGAUAAUUAUAAUUGGGACGAACACCCGAGUUUUUUUUAUUCUAUCAGUUGACCCAACAGUUAGGUUAUGAACUGUUGCUUUCGAUGUGGAUAAAAGUAUUAGAAUAUAAAUCAUUAGUCUCUUUGAUUUAUAUAUUGAAAAUUUCCACAAAAUAUGUGUCAAUCAAAGUCAUAUCGCCCACUCAGCUUAUGCAUCAUUAGGAAACUCAACAUAAAACCAGUAUAUACGUUUACUGCGUUAUUAGAUAUUCACUAUUGCAAUGUGUCUUUAGGUUAUUACUAUAACAAACCAUCGUUCUGAAUCACAAUAUUUUAUUAUGCUAUUCAUUAUUUUGUAAACAUUAAUUUUGUUUGAAUUGAACCAUUAAACAAAAAGAAAAAAUGAUAAUUAAGCUUGAUUCAUUAAGAAUCAAGAUGAAGGAGAAAUGAACGUAAUAACGACAAUGAAAUUGUGAAUUUAACAAGGCGGAACAACGAGUUUUUCGAUUUCAUUAGUUGAUUUUAAGUUGUCGUAAACAAUUUAAAUCAUUAUUGUUUGUGACUUGAGUUCCAUUAAAAAAGACAAAUAAUUAGACUCGCAUACAUAAUAAAUAAAGACUC